GGGAUUAGAUACCCCACUAUGCCUAGCAGUAACCCCAGAUGGCCCUUAAACCAGCCAUCCGCCAGAGUAUUACAAGUGAAAAACUUAAAACUCAAAAGACUUGACGGUGUCCCACAUCAGCCUAGAGGAGCCUGUCCCAUAAUCGAUGAUCCACGUUAAACCUCACCUCCCCUUGCAACCCACACCAGCCUAUAUACCGCCGUCCCCUGCCAACCUUGCAAAAGAACCAACAGUUGGCCUAAUAGCCCCCGCUAAAACGUCAGGUCAAGGUGUAGCCCACGGGGAGGAGAAGAUGGGCUACAUUUUCUAUUACAGAAACCACCGACCCGCGCCAUGAAAACUGCGCUAGAAGCUGGAUUUAGCAGUAAGUUAGACAAGACACGUCUAACUGAACAAUGCCCUGGGACGCGUACACACCGCCCGUC
This 425-nucleotide ribosomal RNA is filed under the name Hemidactylus platyurus (flat-tailed house gecko). RNAcentral describes it as "partial 12S ribosomal RNA". It matches the Rfam family "Bacterial small subunit ribosomal RNA", at positions 774 to 1398 of the family's 1533-position model. The record is from RNAcentral. Lineage: Eukaryota; Metazoa; Chordata; Lepidosauria; Squamata; Gekkonidae.